CAUGAAAUCAUAAUGUAUUCUCACCCAUUUAGCCUUGAUUGCACCGGCUGUAUUAGGAAUAACCUGAAUCUGUACCCUUUUAGGAUGAUUAACAAGCAAGUCAACUUCUACUUCUACUCUAGCACAACUUGGCCUUGUCUUAUUCUUAGUAGCCAUAUCCAACUUCAAAGGCUUCCCUAUUGCCGCUGCCAUAGAAAAGAGCUGAGAUUGGCCAAAAUAAUUAGGUGCUAGGGUUGGAAACGAGAUCCAUGCAAUGGUUAUAGUAGUCUCUUCCUCAGGAUAAAACCAAGGAUCCCACUUCAAUGUACGCAUAGGAUAAUACCAUUGUUGCUCGGUGGCCUAAGAGGCCAUGAAAGGCCGAAAAGAGCUCAAAGCUCCAUGGGAGCCGUCAAGGUUUUUUCUUUAUAUUUCUAACUUUGCCACGGGAAACAACGCCUUAAGUUUAAACACUUCCAUUAUGCUUGUCACAAUUAUUGUUUUAGUUGCGUUUUAAAAUAGACUUCGAUUCUUGGUUAAUGCAUCCCGAAACUUUUCUAAUUAAUUUUUCUUAUACUCUUGCAGCCUCGAUGAUUUUGCUGGAUAACACCUAAUGAAUUUAUUAGAUUGCUUUUGGGGUUUUGAAGAUUGAAUUUGACAAGUUAAGAUGGAAGUUUAGAAGAUGCACAAGCUCAUUAUUUUGCUAGGAAUGUUAUGCACUCGCUAUCAUAGUCUAGCUCGAGUGUUAGCAAUGUUUUUUUGUUAAGGUGUCGAGCAAAUAUUGAAACUAACAUCAUGGGAUGUUAACAAUUUUACUGUAAUUAAUAACUCUAUCUUCCUCUUUAUAUAUAUAACGCUUUUGUAUCUA
Long non-coding RNA from Lycium ferocissimum, 844 nucleotides. RefSeq lists it as uncharacterized. The record is from RefSeq and is a predicted model, not a curated record. NCBI's taxonomy places the organism in Eukaryota, Viridiplantae, Streptophyta, Magnoliopsida, Solanales, Solanaceae. The transcript has 2 exons.